Molecule: non-coding RNA, 76 nt
Organism: Acinetobacter sp. CAG:196
Lineage: Bacteria; Pseudomonadati; Pseudomonadota; Gammaproteobacteria; Moraxellales; Moraxellaceae
Source: Rfam
GCGUCUGUAGCUCAGUAGGAUAGAGCGGAGGUUUCCUAAACCUUGUCUGCCGUGGGUUCGACUCCCUCCAGGCGCA